Long non-coding RNA from Drosophila montana, 214 nucleotides. RefSeq lists it as uncharacterized. Lineage: Eukaryota; Metazoa; Arthropoda; Insecta; Diptera; Drosophilidae. The record is from RefSeq and is a predicted model, not a curated record. The transcript has 2 exons.
AAUUGAUUUAAAAUUUAUAUUUAAUAUUUGAAAACAUGCAAAUCUGUGCAAUUACUUAAUUAACUGUGGCAUGCUCGCUCUUAGGGUUUAUCGGAUAUGUUUGGUAAGUUCACACACAACAUGUCGGCAUGCGAUGGCAAAAAAAGGAAAGGAAAAGUAAAAAACAAAAAAAAGAAGAAACAAUAUUAAAAGCUGAACCGGUCGCCAUUUUAAC